GUCUACAGCCAUGCCACCCUGAACAAGCCCGAUCCCGUCUGAUCUCAGAAGCUAAGCAGGGUCAGGCCUGGUUAGUACUUGGAUGGGAGACCACCUAGGAAGACCAGGUGCUAUAAGUG
This 119-nucleotide ribosomal RNA is filed under the name Pteropus alecto (black flying fox). Lineage: Eukaryota; Metazoa; Chordata; Mammalia; Chiroptera; Pteropodidae. The record is from RNAcentral.